UACGUAGGGUGCAAGCGUUGUCCGGAUUUAUUGGGCGUAAAGAGCUCGUAGGCGGCUUGGCAAGUCGGGUGUGAAAACUACAGGCUCAACCUGUAGAUGCCACUCGAGACUGCUAUGGCUAGAGUCUGGUAGGGGAGCACGGAAUUCCUGGUGUAGCGGUGAAAUGCGCAGAUAUCAGGAGGAACACCGGUGGCGAAGGCGGUGCUCUGGGCCAGUACUGACGCUGAGGAGCGAAAGCGUGGGUAGCAAACAGG
This 254-nucleotide ribosomal RNA is filed under the name uncultured prokaryote. Its description in RNAcentral is "partial 16S ribosomal RNA". It matches the Rfam family "Bacterial small subunit ribosomal RNA", at positions 524 to 776 of the family's 1533-position model. The record is from RNAcentral.